CAACCCUUUCCUGUCUCCAUCUUUCAAUGAUAUUGAAGAAUUGAAUUCUUGGAAGAGCUCAAAUAUCAGAACAGGGGUAAUAACGGAUACAGAACCAUUAACCACACAUUGGAUACAUUUGCUAGGAAGACCAGAGAAGAAAUUGCAAGAAACGCAUAUUGAUGCAGCUUUGGGAUUACUUUGGUUGAGAAGAAACAAGGAUCCCAUUUAUU
Molecule: non-coding RNA, 212 nt
Organism: Camelina sativa (false flax)
Lineage: Eukaryota; Viridiplantae; Streptophyta; Magnoliopsida; Brassicales; Brassicaceae
Source: RefSeq, a predicted model, not a curated record